CCUGUCUGCAGAGCCCUGGAAAGACGAUAGUCCCAGACCCACUCUGCUGGUAGAAAGUUCCUGGAAACCAUCAAUCAGAAGGAGUUGCCUUUAGCAACCAACAACAAAUCUGCCCGAGUUCACCGCGGGGAUGGAGACUGUCUAAAAGCUACAGGAAUGCCUGAAGUCAGAGGAACUGCAGAGGAACUGCUGCCUACCAGAACAGGUGCAUUCCUUGCUCAAUACUAUUUGCUCCUUGUAGUAAAUCUACACCCAACAGGAAUGAAGUAAAGAAAGCCAACCACAAGAGACAACCAACAGCACAGAGGUCAAGAAAAGCAGCCCAGCAAGCUCUGUUUUGAAAGAGACAUUAUGAACAUGUCCAAAGCGGUGUCUACAGCUGGGUUCAAGUGCUGCAUUUCCAAGGUCUUUCUCUGGGAAGGGAAUGAUGAUUGAUACUAAUGCCUGGACACAUUAAUCAAAAUGGGUAUUUUCUUGAUUGCCUAUUCAAACAACACCUCUGACACUGUUUCCAGUCAGCUUCCCCAAGGCUCACAGCAGAUGUUUGUUUGAUGGCCUCUCAUCUCCACUGCUGUUUGGAAAGUCUAUUUGGAAAUAAUAGCUCUAUUUCCAACCACAGAAAGCCAAGGCAACAUUAUCAAAAUAGUUCACCCUUCAUUUUAUCCAAAUGAAAGCCCUGAGGAGGAAGAAAUGUAACCACCUCAUCCACUAGAAUUAUUUUGGGAAAGUGCUAGGAAAUAAAUGUGCUCAUGUUCUGAAGAUCCCUUUGUCUCUCCUUCCCAAAGCUGCUGAUAUAUUUUCACUGGAUGUUCUUAGUGUUGUGUAGUUGUAGUUGCUGCUGUGGUGUUUCAUUCAGUAAGGCUACUUUGGUGUGUUGGAUUAGGAAAAUGAUUUAACAUGGUGUUGGUCUGGUUUUAAUGGUCUGUUCCUCACUCUGAAAAGAGUGCCUGAAACUGAAGCUAGUGAGAACUGUGUUUAAACAAAUAUUUAAUAAACGGGGGACUG
Catharus ustulatus (Swainson's thrush) is the source of this 1005-nucleotide long non-coding RNA. RefSeq lists it as uncharacterized. The transcript is spliced from 4 exons. The record is from RefSeq and is a predicted model, not a curated record. NCBI's taxonomy places the organism in Eukaryota, Metazoa, Chordata, Aves, Passeriformes, Turdidae.